This 750-nucleotide ribosomal RNA is filed under the name Streptococcus sp. 25. RNAcentral's name for it is "bacterial SSU rRNA". It matches the Rfam family "Bacterial small subunit ribosomal RNA", at positions 66 to 801 of the family's 1533-position model. The record is from RNAcentral. Lineage: Bacteria; Bacillati; Bacillota; Bacilli; Lactobacillales; Streptococcaceae.
GCUGAAGUCUGGUGCUUGCACUAGACNCAUGAGUUGCGAACGGGUGAGUAACGCGUAGGUAACCUGCCUCAUAGCGGGGGAUAACUAUUGGAAACGAUAGCUAAUACCGCAUAACAGUAUUUACCGCAUGGUAGAUACUUGAAAGGAGCAAUUGCUUCACUAUGAGAUGGACCUGCGUUGUAUUAGCUAGUUGGUGAGGUAACGGCUCACCAAGGCAUCGAUACAUAGCCGACCUGAGAGGGUGAUCGGCCACACUGGGACUGAGACACGGCCCAGACUCCUACGGGAGGCAGCAGUAGGGAAUCUUCGGCAAUGGGGGCAACCCUGACCGAGCAACGCCGCGUGAGUGAAGAAGGUUUUCGGAUCGUAAAGCUCUGUUGUAAGAGAAGAACUGUGAGAAGAGUGGAAAGUUUCUCACUUGACGGUAUCUUACCAGAAAGGGACGGCUAACUACGUGCCAGCAGCCGCGGUAAUACGUAGGUCCCGAGCGUUGUCCGGAUUUAUUGGGCGUAAAGCGAGCGCAGGCGGUUUGAUAAGUCUGAAGUAAAAGGCUGUGGCUUAACCAUAGUACGCUUUGGAAACUGUCAAACUUGAGUGCAGAAGGGGAGAGUGGAAUUCCAUGUGUAGCGGUGAAAUGCGUAGAUAUAUGGAGGAACACCGGUGGCGAAAGCGGCUCUCUGGUCUGUAACUGACGCUGAGGCUCGAAAGCGUGGGGAGCGAACAGGAUUAGAUACCCUGGUAGUCCACGCC